Molecule: transfer RNA, 62 nt
Filed under: Cephalochlamys namaquensis
Lineage: Eukaryota; Metazoa; Platyhelminthes; Cestoda; Pseudophyllidea; Cephalochlamydidae
Description: tRNA-Val
Source: RNAcentral
UGCAAUGUAUUUUAUUUAAAAUAUUUAUUUUACACGUAAAAGAACCUUAAUAGGCUUUGUAA